AGUGAACGCUGGCGAUAGACCUAACACAUGCAAGUCGAACGGCAGCACAGUAAGAGCUUGCUCUUACGGGUGGCGAGUGGCGGACGGGUGAGGAAUACAUCGGAAUCUACUUUUUCGUGGGGGAUAACGUAGGGAAACUUACGCUAAUACCGCAUACGACCUACGGGUGAAAGCAGGGGAUCUUCGGACCUUGCGCGAUUGAAUGAGCCGAUGUCGGAUUAGCUAGUUGGCGGGGUAAAGGCCCACCAAGGCGACGAUCCGUAGCUGGUCUGAGAGGAUGAUCAGCCACACUGGAACUGAGACACGGUCCAGACUCCUACGGGAGGCAGCAGUGGGGAAUAUUGGACAAUGGGCGCAAGCCUGAUCCAGCCAUACCGCGUGGGUGAAGAAGGCCUUCGGGUUGUAAAGCCCUUUUGUUGGGAAAGAAAAGCAGCAGGUUAAUACCCCGCUGUUCUGACGGUACCCAAAGAAUAAGCACCGGCUAACUUCGUG
Molecule: ribosomal RNA, 492 nt
Filed under: uncultured bacterium
Lineage: Bacteria
Description: partial 16S ribosomal RNA
Rfam family: Bacterial small subunit ribosomal RNA
Source: RNAcentral